This 253-nucleotide ribosomal RNA is filed under the name uncultured bacterium. Its description in RNAcentral is "partial 16S ribosomal RNA". It matches the Rfam family "Bacterial small subunit ribosomal RNA", at positions 524 to 776 of the family's 1533-position model. The record is from RNAcentral.
GACGGAGGAUGCAAGUGUUAUCCGGAAGUAUUGGGCGUAAAGGGUGCGUAGGUGGUCAGACAAGUACCAUGUCAAAGCAUGGUGCUUAACGCCAUAAAGGCGUGGGAAACUGUCAGACUAGAGUACAGCAGGGGCAGGAGGAAUGCCCGGUGUAGCGGUGAAAUGCGUAGAUAUCGGGAAGAACACCAGUGGCGCCAGCGUUCUGCUGGGCUGUAACUGACACUGAGGCACGAAAGCUCGGGGAGCGAAAGGG